RNAcentral lists this non-coding RNA (32 nucleotides) under Rattus norvegicus (Norway rat). Lineage: Eukaryota; Metazoa; Chordata; Mammalia; Rodentia; Muridae. The record is from RNAcentral.
CACCAAUGGGCCAAACCUGAAUAAAAUCUGGU